Molecule: unclassified non-coding RNA, 639 nt
Filed under: Hevea brasiliensis (rubber tree)
Lineage: Eukaryota; Viridiplantae; Streptophyta; Magnoliopsida; Malpighiales; Euphorbiaceae
Source: RNAcentral
GUUAAACUAUAUAUUUGGGAAAUAAACCAUAAACAACAAAGCUCGUGAGUUUUCUGUACACACUUUUUGAAACUAUCUCUUCAACAUAAUAAACAGAGCUUUUCCAAAAAUUUUGGAACUUUGCAUUCCUGACAACUAAGACCUAUAGUCUUCUUACUUUCAGAUGGUUUUGCAAGAACUCGGUCUGAUUGAGGUUGAUUUGCUGGCUUAACUUUCUGAAGCUGCGCCUCAGCUUUUUGCCUAGAUCCAUUUUCACUUUGCAAGAGCUGAUCAGCAGGUUCAUUCUUAUACUUCAUUGUGGUGAUUGCUUCAGCAAUCAUCUGUUUGUAUAGUUUCAUUAGUAGCUUCAACCCUAGGCCAUAAAUUUCCUCUUUUGAGUGCAUUCGGAAGGGUAGGAUUGGUAAGACUAUAUAGCCUCCGUUAACCUCGAAAUCCAUCCCACUCACAUACUUGGACUCUUCGCUUGCUAGAUACAAAACUGCAUAUGCUAUAUCUUCUGGUUCCAAAACGUCGCCUUUCAAAGUCCCUGCCAAUGAUAAUAACUCUUCAGCCUCCUUCCCCAUAUUCAAAUAUUUUGGCUGACCGACAUAAAAAUUUCUAAUUUCCUCUUACACCACGCAGGAUAAAACCCAAAUCAAG